GAUGACGUCAAAAAGAGGCUCCCUGAGGAGGAAGGGACACUGCAUUCCAAGUGCUAGAAUAGGAGAAAAUGCCAGAUGAAGGGUGAGACGACACGUAAAGAGAAGGCAUCACUGGCCUUGCUGCUUCCAGUGGGCGGGACAGGGUGAGAGCGGUGGACAUGGAGGCAGCCCGGCUGACUUUCACCUUCCAUGAUCUUGGGAAACAGGAAAAUUAAACAAAUACCUUCUCAUAACUUCUC
RNAcentral lists this long non-coding RNA (239 nucleotides) under Bos taurus (domestic cattle). RNAcentral's name for it is "long non-coding RNA NONBTAT008209". Lineage: Eukaryota; Metazoa; Chordata; Mammalia; Artiodactyla; Bovidae. The record is from RNAcentral.